RNAcentral lists this transfer RNA (64 nucleotides) under Dipodomys ordii (Ord's kangaroo rat). It matches the Rfam family "tRNA". Rfam says of the family: Transfer RNA (tRNA) molecules are approximately 80 nucleotides in length. Their secondary structure includes four short double-helical elements and three loops (D, anti-codon, and T loops). The record is from Rfam by way of RNAcentral. Lineage: Eukaryota; Metazoa; Chordata; Mammalia; Rodentia; Heteromyidae.
GAGAAGUUGGCUCAGUGGUAGAGCGCUUGCCUCAUAUGCAUGAGGCUCUGGGUUCGAUUUCUCA